AGACAUAUUUUUCAUUGAGUGCAUCAGAUUCUGAUACUUGGAUAUUAGAUACUACCUAUGGAUCAUAUAUAUAUAAUUCAUUACAGUGACUACAGAAUAUCAAAGGUCUGAAAAGAGAUGAUCUUGAGCUUUAUGGUGCAAAUAGAGAGUCCAUUAGUGCAGAGGCUGUGGGAACCUAUAUACUUAAUUUAUCUUCAAACAAAAUUUUGAAAUUAAAAGACUGAUAUUACAUACCUA
Molecule: long non-coding RNA, 237 nt
Filed under: Elaeis guineensis (African oil palm)
Lineage: Eukaryota; Viridiplantae; Streptophyta; Magnoliopsida; Arecales; Arecaceae
Description: long non-coding RNA (EGUI_LNC063605)
Source: RNAcentral